RNAcentral lists this non-coding RNA (779 nucleotides) under Apatura metis. The record is from RNAcentral. Lineage: Eukaryota; Metazoa; Arthropoda; Insecta; Lepidoptera; Nymphalidae.
GAAUAGAUAAAUUUUUUAUGUUUUAAUAAUUUUAUUAUAAAUUUGUUUUACAUAUAAAUUUUAGUAAAAGAUUUUAAUUAUUUUGAUAAUAAUUAAUUAUUUAAGUAGUAAUUAAUAUUAAAAAUUUAAGAAAUUAAGAUUUAGCGAUAUUAAAAUUAAUAACUAAUUUUGUGCCAGCAGUUGCGGUUAUACAAAAAUUAAAUUGAAUUAUUUCAGUUUAUAAUAAAUAAUUUUAAUUAAAGUAAAUAUUAAAUUAUUAAGUGAAAUUUUAAUUUAAUUGAAUUUUAUUUUUAAAUUAUUAUUUUAAUAAAUUUUAAUAUAAACUAGGAUUAGAUACCCUAUUAUUAAAAAAUUAAUUUAUAAUACUAAAAUAGUAAAUAAUUAUUUAUUGAAACUUGAAUAAUAUGGCGGUAUUUUAGUUCAUUUAGAGGAAUCUGUCUAAUAAUUGAUAAUCCACGAAUAAAUUUACUUAAUUUAAUAUUUUGUAUAUCAUUGUUAAAAAAAUAUUUUUAAAUAAAAAUAAUAUUUAAAUUUUAAAAUAAAAAAUUAAUUCAGAUCAUGAUGCAGAUUAUAAUUAAGAAUAUGAUGGAUUACAAUAAAUAUAUUUAAAUGGAUAAUAUUAUUGAAAAUUAUAUUUUAAAGUGGAUUUAAAUGUAAUUUUAAUUAGUUUAUUAAAAUGAUUAAAAAUUAAAAUAUGUACAUAUUGCCCGUCACUUUCAUUUAAAAAUUGAAAUAAGUCGUAACAAAGUAGAUGUACUGGAAAGUGUGCCUAGAAAGAA